RNAcentral lists this non-coding RNA (190 nucleotides) under Terrimonas sp. Lineage: Bacteria; Pseudomonadati; Bacteroidota; Chitinophagia; Chitinophagales; Chitinophagaceae. The record is from RNAcentral. RNAcentral also lists the same sequence under 1 other name.
AUUUCAACAAUCGGAUCAGGUUCUGCUUAGCUGAGAUUAAUAGGGAAUCGUGUGCAAAUCACGAACUGUCGCGCAACUGUAAGUAACAAAAGGUUCUAUCAAUACAUAUCCACUGUUCAUAUAUAAUCAGGAUGGGAAGGAUGAUAAAACUGUUACAAGUCAGGAUACCUGCCUGCUCUGGAUGUACGAU